AGAGUAUCUCAGAAGAUGCAUGAGGAACUGAGGACAGUCGUCGGUGGACAACUGGUCUAGGAGGUGGGGUGAGAUGGAGAUUUAUUUUUUACUGUAGAUUCUUUUUGAAUUUUUUUAUGCCUGUGUAACCCUUAAAAACCCAAUUUAUUACUGUUUGUAGGCGGGCUGUUAAAUCACUCUUUCCUGCGUCUCCUUUCGCCCUGGAGAGUCUGGGCACUGCCGGUAGAGUGCUCCGGCAUAGCCCCACCCCUGGCUGGGUCCAGGAGGGCACGCCUCCUGAAGUUCAAGCGCAUCGGGGCGAGGAGCCCUGGAGGCUGCAUGACAGCCCUGUGAAUCAGCACUCUUCCCAGAUGAAAAUCCUGGCUGGAAAGCAACCUCAAGGCCUCUGGCCCUACUGCAUUGCCCUGACUUCUCUUCUCUGUUUGUUCAUCUUUCCUGGAAAAAAUAAGUAAGCUUCUCCCCUUCACCAAUUUCCCUGGCACUCUGCAGGGCAGGCCACAGAGCCCUGCCUGCCAGCUGCUUCCCGUGUGCCAAGUCUUCCUGACUCUAUUUACCUCGGUGCUCCAGUGCCCCGGGCCGCGUCUGUGCUCACAGAUCAGCUAGUGGGGCGGCUGCCAGCCCAAGUCCACACUCCCUGCUGGUGACCCCCAGCAUGUGUGCCAUGAAGACCAGCCUGGCUAUGACAGGAGUCGCUUCCACAGGAACCAUCGAGAAGACUUUAGCCAGGAGAAAAUGCUACCUCAUCCAACAAGGCAUCUGAGGGGCAUGGGGGCCCCCGUGUCUAUGUCAUGUUUUAUCCGCUCCAACUGGCUUUGUCAGAUUUCUGACUAUCUACCUUGGGCUGUGUCCCCUGGUGCUUGUCCCUGGUUCUUUUUUGUUCUCCAGGUUUAUGAACCUCUUUCUGCCUCACCUGGUCUCACCUGGACACCGGCCUCGUGGUGGAACCCUUCCCACACGUCCUGUCUGGACCGACCACUUCCGUCCAGAUGCCCAGCUCGGCUCUUAUCAGCCCCCUGCCCUGUCCUCCACCUUCUCAGUCCUGGCUCCUCUCUCUGUCCCUUGAAUCCAUAACCAGAUAUGCUCACACUCUCACCGGAGACUCCAACCUACUGACUCAGGGCCAAGGACGCACCCAAGUGUUUGUUUUCUAGGGUGGUGGUAAAGAUAAAAUGAAGUUAUGCAUGAGAACCAUUAACACGGUGCUUCUGGCACAUGGUUUCGUGGUCACAAAUUUGGGAGCAGCUUCGUCGGGUGGUUGUGGAUCCAGAUCUCUCAUGAGGUUGCCGCCAAGACUUCAGCCCGGGCCACAGUCAUCUGAAGGCCUCACUGGGGCUGGGGAUACAUUUCCAAGAUGGCACACUCACGUGGCUGUUGGCAAGAGGCAUCAGGUCCUUGCCACGUGAGCUACUUGAGUGUCAUGACACCUGGCUUCCCCCCAGAGCAAGUGAUCCAGGCAAGGGCAUGAAGGAAGCCACACUGCCUUUCAUGACCUAGUACCAAAAGUCACACACUAUUACUUAUGCUUUUCUAUUCAUUAGAAGUGAGCCACUGAGUUCAGCCCACAUUCAAGGGGAGGGGAAUUAAGCUCCAUCUUUUAAAGGAGUGUCAGAAUGUAAGAAUUUGUUAUGUGUAUAUCUGUGUCUGUGUCUGUGGUCCUAAACUAUUCUUUUUUUUUUAAUCUUUACCUAAAUGGAAUCACACUGUUAGUGUUCUGUGACUUGCAAUUUCAUCCAACCUUAUAUUUUUGACAUCCAUUAAUACUGACACAUUGUAUUAGUCUGCUAGGGCUGCCAUAAGAAAGUACUGUAGACAGGGCAGCUUAAAAAAAACUGAAUUUGUUUUCUCAGACCUGGAGGCUGGACGUCCAAGAUCAAGGUGUUGGCAGGGGUAGUUUCUUCUGAGGUCUCUCUCCUUGGCUUGUAGAUGGUUUUCUUCUCCCUGUGUCUUCGCAUGGUCUUCCUUCUUUAUGGAUUUGUGUCCUAAUUUCCUCUUCUUAUAAGGACAUGGGUCAUAUUGGAUUAAGGCCUACCCUAAUGAUCUCAUUUUAUUCAUUUCCCUCUUUAAAGACUUUAUACCCAAAUACAGUCACAUCCUGAGAUAGUGGGGGGUUAGGACUUCAACAUAUGAAUUUUAUGGGGGCACAAUUCAACCCAUAACAUACACAGACCUGCCGUUUAUUCACUUUCACUGCUCUACAGUAUUCUAUUGUGUGAGUAGACAAAAAUUUUUUUCUAUUCUACUAUCGAUAGAUAUUUUCAGUUUUUGUUAUUAAAAAACAUACUGUCACAUGCCUCCUGGCACCCUUGAAUAUGUAACAUACACACAUCUUCAUAUUUACUAGGUUAAUGCCAAUUUUUUUCCCCAAAGGUUGCACUAAUGUACGUUCCCAUCACCAGGAUAUCAGAGUUCUCAUUGCUCCACAUUCUUGCCAGUGUUUGGUAUUGUCAGACUCUCUAACUUUUCUAAUCUCAUGGGUGAGAAAUGAUAUCUUUUGUGGCUCUAUUUAGCAUUUCCCAGAUGACCAACAAGGUUGAGGAUCCUUUCAUUUGUUUGUGAAAUGCUUUUUCCUUUCUUUUGUCCAUUUAUCCAUUGGGUUGUUAAUUUUUUCCGUAUUGAUUUGUCAAAGUUCUUCACAUAUUGGUACUGCACGUAUUUUCUACCAGCUUAUCUUUUUACUUUCUCUGGCCAAACUUCAUAAGUCUCGGCUCUUCUUCUUCUGCCCAUCUAUUGUUUGUGUUUCUCUCAGGUCCUGUCCUCUCCCUGCUCUACAUACUGUCCUUAGUUAAUCCGUCCAAUGAAUGAACUUCUCACCUACAAAUGUUACUGAAUCCUAAACUACAUCUUCAAAAUAGCUCUGCUGAGCAUCUUAAAGUUCACUGAACACUCCAUGCUUUUUCCAACUUGUGAGCUUUGGCACAUGCUUGCCACUCUUAGUGGAAUAACAUCUCCCACCCCAUCCUCCUCCACUCUCCCAUACACUUUUUUUUUCUUUUCUUUUUUUUUUUUUAAAUGUCGGUUCAUUGGGGUUUUUUAAAUUUAGUUUUGGCUG
Molecule: long non-coding RNA, 3049 nt
Organism: Aethalodelphis obliquidens (Pacific white-sided dolphin)
Lineage: Eukaryota; Metazoa; Chordata; Mammalia; Artiodactyla; Delphinidae
Exons: 3
Source: RefSeq, a predicted model, not a curated record